CUGCAGCAAACUAAAUCUUCCAGAUCCCUUUCCUCACAGGGCCUGAUAUGCAAUGGCUAGGAACAGUGGCCUCAGUGGUAGCGAAUGUAGCCUGUUGCUACAUGGACUUCUCUAAGACAUCUUGGAUACAGUU
This 133-nucleotide small nucleolar RNA is filed under the name Neotoma lepida (desert woodrat). RNAcentral describes it as "Small nucleolar RNA SNORA70". It matches the Rfam family "Small nucleolar RNA SNORA70". Rfam says of the family: snoRNA U70 seems to be exclusive to mammals and is a member of the H/ACA class of snoRNA which contain H (ANANNA) and ACA box motifs. H/ACA box snoRNAs are involved in the conversion of uridines to pseudouridines (5-ribosyluracil) a constituent of structural RNAs (transfer, ribosomal, small nuclear, and small nucleolar). The record is from Rfam by way of RNAcentral. Lineage: Eukaryota; Metazoa; Chordata; Mammalia; Rodentia; Cricetidae.